RNAcentral lists this ribosomal RNA (305 nucleotides) under uncultured bacterium. RNAcentral's name for it is "bacterial SSU rRNA". It matches the Rfam family "Bacterial small subunit ribosomal RNA", at positions 337 to 634 of the family's 1533-position model. The record is from RNAcentral.
CCCUACGGGAGGCAGCAGUGGGGAAUCUUCCGCAAUGGGCGCAAGCCUGACGGAGCAAUACCGCGUGAACGAAGAAGGUCUUCGGAUUGUAAAGUUCUGUCCUUAUCGAAGAGAGGGUAUAGAGUGAAAAAUGAUAUACUAGGACGGUAGAUGAGGAGGAAGCCCCGGCUAACUACGUGCCAGCAGCCGCGGUAAUACGUAGGGAGCGAGCGUUGUCCGGAAUUACUGGGUGUAAGGGGAGCGUAGGCGGGGAUGCAAGUUGGGUGUCAAAACUACCGGCUCAACUGGUAGUCGCACUCAAAACU